RNAcentral lists this ribosomal RNA (232 nucleotides) under uncultured bacterium. Its description in RNAcentral is "partial 16S ribosomal RNA". It matches the Rfam family "Bacterial small subunit ribosomal RNA", at positions 1260 to 1500 of the family's 1533-position model. The record is from RNAcentral.
ACCGGAUGCGGAUCUCGAAAGCCUGUCCCAGUUCGGACUGGAGUCUGCAACCCGACUCCACGAAGUUGGAUUCGCUAGUAAUCGCGCAUCAGCCAUGGCGCGGUGAAUACGUUCCCGGGCCUUGUACACACCGCCCGUCAAGCCAUGGGAGCCGGGGGCGCCUGAAGUCCGGGACCGCGAGGACCGGUCUAGGGCGAAACUGGUAACUGGGGCUAAGUCGUAACAAGGUACC